CUCCUCCCUCCCGGCUCCAAUCCCCACGUUCCGCCAGCUCCCCACCCCUCGGCCUCCUCUCCUCCCCACCUUCUCCCGCGAACCCACACUCACAAAGAGCCGAGGGGAGAGAGGGUGCGCAGACGGCCAGCGGGGCCGCGCCAGGGACAUACUGGAGACAGGAAGUGGCUGAGAGGGGGAGAGAGUUGGAGAGAGACGGCCGCGGAGGACACGGGGACGGGAAAGUCUGAGAGACGGGGAGAGCCUGACCCGGCGGGACACAGGCAGAAAGAAACACGCGAGCCAGACAGACGCAGAAGAAACGGUGGGCUGCCUGGUACUGGAUAGGAACUUCAUGGAAUGGAGCUAAUGGGCCGUAGGGCAGGUUUGAGUCGUGCCACCCUGGAGCAGAAGGUGGAGGGUAGGGAUAAGGGGGUGGAGCACCUGAUUCCAAUCUUGCCGCACGGAAGAAGAGUCUGUGAAGAAGUGCGUGAUGACUGUGUGUCCCCCCCACCCAGAAAUUGGCAUUUGGGAGGGGUGGAUAUGGUUGGGACUGGGGAGCCUUGAUCUUACUGCUCUUGGUUGAGUUGGUGUCCAAUAGACAGUUUCAGAGGUUAGAGCAGUGGGAGUCACUGGGGACUGGGGACGGGAGAGGUGGGGGUGGGGGAAGCCAGGCGGGAAUGAGUAGGGAGGCACUGGGAGGAGGGGAGAGGCAAGAGUUAGGGGAAUACCGAGGAAAGUGGCAGGGAUUGGAGGCUCCUGGAGAAAGGGCAAGGCUGAAGGUUGUCCCAUGUAUUUUGGCCAGAUUUGAUUAUGUAAUCGAGAUACAUGAGAUAAUUGUGUUCGUGUCUCUGGAGCCUUCAACCAGCUCUUUUAACAUCUUGCUCUUCCCGGCAUUCCUUAGGGUCUUUGGCUGGGCUCUGGGAUGGAUGCCAUGGGAGUACCUUUACUUAAGCUCUAAAGUUACCAAUGGAGAGACUGGGACUCAAAGAGGAACUUGAUUGGACCCCAGAGAGGUGAGGGGUAAGGGCUCGAACCUCACACAUGCUGGUUUUGCUGCUGCCUGGCAGGCCCAUGGGAAGAACUUUAGAGGUUCCAAGGAAUUGGAAAAGGGUCACAAGAUGGGUGGCCAAACUCCCAGCUCAGGCUUGAUUCCUACUCUCAAUGUGGGGAUAGUGGAGAAGGGGGCUGCAGGAAGGGCUGAGAAAAGCUGAGAAUGAGAAGUUAUACAGGAGGUAGCUUGGUGGGAGUGAAACAAAAAUGAGUGGUU
Molecule: long non-coding RNA, 1249 nt
Filed under: Pan troglodytes (chimpanzee)
Lineage: Eukaryota; Metazoa; Chordata; Mammalia; Primates; Hominidae
Description: long non-coding RNA NONPTRT003454
Source: RNAcentral